CGAACGCUGGCGGCGUACUUAACACAUGCAAGUCGUGCGAGGAUCGCCUUGUGAGCAAUCAUGAGGUGGUUUUAGCGGCGCACGGGUGAGUAACACGUGGGUAACCUGCCCUCGAGACCGGGAUACCCCCUCGAAAGGGGGGCUAAUACCGGAUACGUUCCCCGGGUUGCGAGACCUGGGGAGGAAAGGUGGCGAAAGCUGCCGUUCGUGGAGGGGCUCGCGGCCUAUCAGCUUGUUGGCGGGGUAACGGCCCACCAAGGCAAUGACGGGUAGCUGGUCUGAGAGGACGACCAGCCACACGGGGACUGAGACACGGCCCCGACUCCUACGGGAGGCAGCAGUGGGGAAUUUUCCGCAAUGGGCGAAAGCCUGACGCAGCGACGCCGCGUGCGUGACGAAGGCCUUCGGGUUGUAAAGCGCUGUCAGGGGGGAAGAAAAGGCCGGGGUUAAUAGCCCGGGCUCUUGACGGUACCCCUGAAGGAAGCCCCGGCUAACUCCGUGCCAGCAGCCGCGGUAAUACGGAGGGGGCGAGCGUUGCUCGGAAUCACUGGGCGUAAAGAGCGUGUAGGCGGUGCGGAAAGUCCGGUGUGAAGCCCUCGGCUUAACCGAGGGAGGGCACCGGGAACUUCUGCACUUGAGUGCGGAGAGGAGUGAAUUCCCAGUGUAGCGUGAAUGCGUAGAUAUGGAAGAACACCGGUGGCGAAGGCGGCUCCCUGGACCGUAACUGACGCUGAGACGCGAAAGCUGGGGAGCAAACGGAUUAGAUACCCCGGUAGUCCCAGCCCUAAACGAUGGGCACUAGGUGUAGGGGGUGUUGACCCCUCCUGUGCCGCAGCUAACGCAAUAAGUGCCCCGCCUGGGGAGUACGGUCGCAAGGCUAAGACUCAAAGGAAUUGACGGGGGCCCGCACAAGCGGUGGAGCAUGUGGUUUAAUUCGACGCAACGCGAAGAACCUUACCUGGGCUUGACAUGGCCCGGACAGGCCGAGAGAUCGGCUCUCCCUUCGGGGCCGGGUCACAGGUGCUGCAUGGCUGUCGUCAGCUCGUGUCGCGAGAUGUUGGGUUAAGUCCCGCAACGAGCGCAACCCUCACCCUUAGUUGCCAGCGGUUCGGCCGGGAACUCUAAGGGAACUGCCGGUGAUAAACCGGAGGAAGGUGGGGACGACGUCAAGUCCUCAUGGCCUUUAUGCCCAGGGCUACACACGUGCUACAAUGGCCGGCACAAAGGGUUGCGAAACCGCGAGGUGGAGCCAAUCCCAAAACACCGGUCUCAGUUCGGAUUGGAGUCUGCAACUCGACUCCAUGAAGCCGGAAUCGCUAGUAAUCGUGGAUCAGCACGCCACGGUGAAUACGUUCCCGGGCCUGUACACACCGC
This 1374-nucleotide ribosomal RNA is filed under the name uncultured bacterium. RNAcentral describes it as "16S ribosomal RNA". It matches the Rfam family "Bacterial small subunit ribosomal RNA", at positions 30 to 1393 of the family's 1533-position model. The record is from RNAcentral.